This 492-nucleotide ribosomal RNA is filed under the name uncultured bacterium. RNAcentral's name for it is "partial 16S ribosomal RNA". It matches the Rfam family "Bacterial small subunit ribosomal RNA", at positions 29 to 507 of the family's 1533-position model. The record is from RNAcentral.
AGUGAACGCUGGCGGUAGGCCUAACACAUGCAAGUCGAACGGCAGCACAGUAAGAGCUUGCUCUUACGGGUGGCGAGUGGCGGACGGGUGAGGAAUACAUCGGAAUCUACUUUUUCGUGGGGGAUAACGUAGGGAAACUUACGCUAAUACCGCAUACGACCUACGGGUGAAAGCAGGGGAUCUUCGGACCUUGCGCGAUUGAAUGGGCCGAUGUCGGAUUAGCUAGUUGGCGGGGUAAAGGCCCACCAAGGCGACGAUCCGUAGCUGGUCUGAGAGGAUGAACAGCCACACUGGAAAUGAGACAAGGUCCAGACUCCUACGGGAGGCAGCAGUGGGGAAUAUUGGACAAUGGGCGCAAGCCUGAUCCAGCCAUACCGCGUGGGUGAAGAAGGCCUUCGGGUUGUAAAGCCCUUUUGUUGGGAAAGAAAAGCAGCAGGUUAAUACCCCGCUGUUCUGACGGUACCAAAAGAAUAAGCACCGGCUAACUUCGUG